This 66-nucleotide transfer RNA is filed under the name Callopistes maculatus. RNAcentral's name for it is "tRNA-His". Lineage: Eukaryota; Metazoa; Chordata; Lepidosauria; Squamata; Teiidae. The record is from RNAcentral.
GUCUUUAUAGUUUAACCAAAACCCUAGACUGUGACUCUAGCAAUAGAACACGACUUCUUAAAGACC